Molecule: ribosomal RNA, 254 nt
Filed under: uncultured bacterium
Lineage: Bacteria
Description: partial 16S ribosomal RNA
Rfam family: Bacterial small subunit ribosomal RNA
Source: RNAcentral
UACGAGGGGGGCAAGCGUUGUUCGGAAUUACUGGGCGUAAAGCGUGCGUAGGCGGUUCUCCAAGUCCGUUGUGAAAUCCCCGGGCUUAACCUGGGAAUGGCAGUGGAAACUAGGGGACUUGAAUCUGGCAGAGGGGGGUGGAAUUCCACGUGUAGCAGUGAAAUGCGUAGAGAUGUGGAGGAACGCCGAUGGCGAAGGCAGCCCCCUGGGCUGAGAUUGACGCUGAGUGCACGAAAGCGUGGGGAGCAAACAGG